GAGGAUUAUACUGUCUCCCCCCCUAAAUCAAUGAAACUGAUCCCCCCGUGAAGAAGCGGGGAUAAAUAUAUAAGACGAGAAGACCCUAUGGAGCUUUAAACUCAACACCACCUACCUCAACCAACCCCCUCACAAACAGGUAGAGAUCGUGUAUGUUUUCAGUUGGGGUGACUGCGGAGCAAAACAAAACCUCCACGAUGAAAAAUAACCUCUAAUCCAAGAACAACAUUUCAAAGAAUCAACAAAUUGACAUCAAUUGACCCAAAUAAUAAUUUGAUCAACGAACCAAGUUACCCUAGGGAUAACAGCGCAAUCCAUUUCAAGAGCUCAUAUCGACAAAUG
This 342-nucleotide ribosomal RNA is filed under the name Chiasmocleis cordeiroi. RNAcentral describes it as "partial 16S ribosomal RNA". It matches the Rfam family "Bacterial large subunit ribosomal RNA", at positions 2006 to 2514 of the family's 2925-position model. The record is from RNAcentral. Lineage: Eukaryota; Metazoa; Chordata; Amphibia; Anura; Microhylidae.